Molecule: non-coding RNA, 26 nt
Filed under: Homo sapiens (human)
Lineage: Eukaryota; Metazoa; Chordata; Mammalia; Primates; Hominidae
Source: RNAcentral
UUAUUUAAACCAUGGUGGCUUUGGGA